UGGGGAAUAUUGGACAAUGGGCGAAAGCCUGAUCCAGCCAUGCCGCGUGUGUGAAGAAGGUCUUCGGAUUGUAAAGCACUUUAAGUUGGGAGGAAGGGUUGUAGAUUAAUACUCUGCAAUUUUGACGUUACCGACAGAAUAAGCACCGGCUAACUCUGUGCCAGCAGCCGCGGUAAUACAGAGGGUGCAAGCGUUAAUCGGAAUUACUGGGCGUAAAGCGCGCGUAGGUGGUUAGUUAAGAUGGAUGUGAAAUCCCCGGGCUCAACCUGGGAACUGCAUUCAAAACUGACUGACUAGAGUAUGGUAGAGGGUGGUGGAAUUUCCUGUGUAGCGGUGAAAUGCGUAGAUAUAGGAAGGAACACCAGUGGCGAAGGCGACCACCUGGACUGAUACUGACACUGAGGUGCGAAAGCGUGGGGAGCAAACA
RNAcentral lists this ribosomal RNA (427 nucleotides) under uncultured bacterium. Its description in RNAcentral is "partial 16S ribosomal RNA". It matches the Rfam family "Bacterial small subunit ribosomal RNA", at positions 355 to 774 of the family's 1533-position model. The record is from RNAcentral.